GCCUGGCUGGCUCAGUUGGUGGAGCAUGCGACUCUUGAUCGUGGGGUUGUAGGUUUGAGCCCCACGUUGGGUG
This is a non-coding RNA of Felis catus (domestic cat), 73 nucleotides long. The record is from Rfam. NCBI's taxonomy places the organism in Eukaryota, Metazoa, Chordata, Mammalia, Carnivora, Felidae.